RNAcentral lists this ribosomal RNA (2074 nucleotides) under Staphylococcus aureus. RNAcentral describes it as "partial 23S ribosomal RNA". It matches the Rfam family "Bacterial large subunit ribosomal RNA", at positions 680 to 2754 of the family's 2925-position model. The record is from RNAcentral. Lineage: Bacteria; Bacillati; Bacillota; Bacilli; Caryophanales; Staphylococcaceae.
AGUCUGAAUAGGGCGUUUAGUAUUUGGUCGUAGACCCGAAACCAGGUGAUCUACCCUUGGUCAGGUUGAAGUUCAGGUAACACUGAAUGGAGGACCGAACCGACUUACGUUGAAAAGUGAGCGGAUGAACUGAGGGUAGCGGAGAAAUUCCAAUCGAACCUGGAGAUAGCUGGUUCUCUCCGAAAUAGCUUUAGGGCUAGCCUCAAGUGAUGAUUAUUGGAGGUAGAGCACUGUUUGGACGAGGGGCCCCUCUCGGGUUACCGAAUUCAGACAAACUCCGAAUGCCAAUUAAUUUAACUUGGGAGUCAGAACAUGGGUGAUAAGGUCCGUGUUCGAAAGGGAAACAGCCCAGACCACCAGCUAAGGUCCCAAAAUAUAUGUUAAGUGGAAAAGGAUGUGGCGUUGCCCAGACAACUAGGAUGUUGGCUUAGAAGCAGCCAUCAUUUAAAGAGUGCGUAAUAGCUCACUAGUCGAGUGACACUGCGCCGAAAAUGUACCGGGGCUAAACAUAUUACCGAAGCUGUGGAUUGUCCUUUGGACAAUGGUAGGAGAGCGUUCUAAGGGCGUUGAAGCAUGAUCGUAAGGACAUGUGGAGCGCUUAGAAGUGAGAAUGCCGGUGUGAGUAGCGAAAGACGGGUGAGAAUCCCGUCCACCGAUUGACUAAGGUUUCCAGAGGAAGGCUCGUCCGCUCUGGGUUAGUCGGGUCCUAAGCUGAGGCCGACAGGCGUAGGCGAUGGAUAACAGGUUGAUAUUCCUGUACCACCUAUAAUCGUUUUAAUCGAUGGGGGGACGCAGUAGGAUAGGCGAAGCGUGCGAUUGGAUUGCACGUCUAAGCAGUAAGGCUGAGUAUUAGGCAAAUCCGGUACUCGUUAAGGCUGAGCUGUGAUGGGGAGAAGACAUUGAGUCUUCGAGUCGUUGAUUUCACACUGCCGAGAAAAGCCUCUAGAUAGAAAAUAGGUGCCCGUACCGCAAACCGACACAGGUAGUCAAGAUGAGAAUUCUAAGGUGAGCGAGCGAACUCUCGUUAAGGAACUCGGCAAAAUGACCCCGUAACUUCGGGAGAAGGGGUGCUCUUUAGGGUUAACGCCCAGAAGAGCCGCAGUGAAUAGGCCCAAGCGACUGUUUAUCAAAAACACAGGUCUCUGCUAAACCGUAAGGUGAUGUAUAGGGGCUGACGCCUGCCCGGUGCUGGAAGGUUAAGAGGAGUGGUUAGCUUCUGCGAAGCUACGAAUCGAAGCCCCAGUAAACGGCGGCCGUAACUAUAACGGUCCUAAGGUAGCGAAAUUCCUUGUCGGGUAAGUUCCGACCCGCACGAAAGGCGUAACGAUUUGGGCACUGUCUCAACGAGAGACUCGGUGAAAUCAUAGUACCUGUGAAGAUGCAGGUUACCCGCGACAGGACGGAAAGACCCCGUGGAGCUUUACUGUAGCCUGAUAUUGAAAUUCGGCACAGCUUGUACAGGAUAGGUAGGAGCCUUUGAAACGUGAGCGCUAGCUUACGUGGAGGCGCUGGUGGGAUACUACCCUAGCUGUGUUGGCUUUCUAACCCGCACCACUUAUCGUGGUGGGAGACAGUGUCAGGCGGGCAGUUUGACUGGGGCGGUCGCCUCCUAAAAGGUAACGGAGGCGCUCAAAGGUUCCCUCAGAAUGGUUGGAAAUCAUUCAUAGAGUGUAAAGGCAUAAGGGAGCUUGACUGCGAGACCUACAAGUCGAGCAGGGUCGAAAGACGGACUUAGUGAUCCGGUGGUUCCGCAUGGAAGGGCCAUCGCUCAACGGAUAAAAGCUACCCCGGGGAUAACAGGCUUAUCUCCCCCAAGAGUUCACAUCGACGGGGAGGUUUGGCACCUCGAUGUCGGCUCAUCGCAUCCUGGGGCUGUAGUCGGUCCCAAGGGUUGGGCUGUUCGCCCAUUAAAGCGGUACGCGAGCUGGGUUCAGAACGUCGUGAGACAGUUCGGUCCCUAUCCGUCGUGGGCGUAGGAAAUUUGAGAGGAGCUGUCCUUAGUACGAGAGGACCGGGAUGGACAUACCUCUGGUGUACCAGUUGUCGUGCCAACGGCAUAGCUGGGUAGCUAUGU